RNAcentral lists this unclassified non-coding RNA (216 nucleotides) under Hevea brasiliensis (rubber tree). Lineage: Eukaryota; Viridiplantae; Streptophyta; Magnoliopsida; Malpighiales; Euphorbiaceae. The record is from RNAcentral.
GAAUACUCUCUUUUCUUCGCCAAUUGCGCGCCGGAGACGCGCGUGUCCAUGAACGUUCGAACGGAGGUUUACAAUCUCGAGUUCGAUGGCUCUAAGGAUUUCCUCUCUGCUGGCUUAACGCAGCUACCGUCGCUGUACUUUGUCUACUUCAUUGCGUAUCUCGCUUUUCUGGGCUUCUGGAUCUACAUUUGCUUCACCAAUAGAGGAUCUGUACAU